GUAGAAGUACAAAAUGGACGCGUGACAGCUUGCUUUGAUUCGAUAAAAGGCAAAUGUCAGAGGAAAGACCCUCCUUGUAAGUACCUUCACCCACCUCAACACCUGAGGGAACAGUUACUUCAAAAUGGUCGAAACAACUUAAUUAUUAAAAACCUCCAGUUGCAAGCUGCACAGGCUGCGGCGGCUGGGCUACAACCACUGGUGCCUGGAAUGAUUCCAACAGUCGCAAGUUUGAAUUAUGGAAAGGCCAGCGGUAAGGCAGUGGCGUACCCCACCGUAAUCCCCGGACAAUUCCCUGUUUUGGUUAGUGUUAAACCACAUUCUUUUACUUACUUUCAAUCUCUGCUAAGACAAUAAAGACC
This is a long non-coding RNA of Octopus bimaculoides (California two-spot octopus), 362 nucleotides long. NCBI's taxonomy places the organism in Eukaryota, Metazoa, Mollusca, Cephalopoda, Octopoda, Octopodidae. The record is from RefSeq and is a predicted model, not a curated record.